UGCAGUCGACGGAAACGAUACUAGCUUGCUAGUAGGCGUCGAGUGGCGGACGGGUGGGUAACGCGUAGGAAUCUGCCUGAUAGUGGGGGAUAGCCCGAAGAAAUUCGGAUUAAUACCGCAUAAUCUAUUCGUAGUAAAGUGGGGGACUUUUAAGCCUCACGCUAUCAGAUGAGCCUGCGUAAGAUUAGCUAGUUGGUAGGGUAAAAGCCUACCAAGGCAACGAUCUUUAGCUGGUCUGAGAGGAUGAUCAGCCACAUCGGGACUGAGACACGGCCCGAACUCCUACGGGAGGCAGCAGUGGGGAAUAUUGGACAAUGGGGGCAACCCUGAUCCAGCAAUACCGCGUGUGUGAAGAAGGCCUGAGGGUUGUAAAGCACUUUCAAUUGUGAAGAAAAGUUAACGGUUAAUAACCGUUAGCCUUGACGUUAACUUUAGAAGAAGCACCGGCUAACUCCGUGCCAGCAGCCGCGGUAAUACGGAGGGUGCAAGCGUUAAUCGGAAUUACUGGGCGUAAAGCGUGCGUAGGCGGUUUAUUAAGUCAGAUGUGAAAGCCCCGGGCUUAACCUGGGAACUGCAUUUGAAACUGGUCAACUAGAGUAUGGUAGAGGAAAGUGGAAUUUCUGGUGUAGCGGUGAAAUGCGUAGAUAUCAGAAGGAACAUCAAUGGCGAAGGCAGCUUUCUGGACCAAUACUGACGCUGAGGUACGAAAGCGUGGGUAGCAAACAGGAUUAGAUACCCUGGUAGUCCACGCCGUAAACGAUGAUAACUAGCCGUUGGGGGGAUUUACCCUUUAGUGGCGAAGCU
RNAcentral lists this ribosomal RNA (804 nucleotides) under uncultured marine bacterium. RNAcentral describes it as "bacterial SSU rRNA". It matches the Rfam family "Bacterial small subunit ribosomal RNA", at positions 56 to 853 of the family's 1533-position model. The record is from RNAcentral.